Molecule: long non-coding RNA, 1007 nt
Organism: Bombus pascuorum
Lineage: Eukaryota; Metazoa; Arthropoda; Insecta; Hymenoptera; Apidae
Exons: 3
Source: RefSeq, a predicted model, not a curated record
UCGCGAUUACCUUAAUGUCUGAAUAUUUCGUUCCGAAUAUUAUGUAAAUGUAAAAUUGUGAAACUUUGUUUAUGUGAUUGGCUUUAUUAGAGAAAACGAUGAAUGCCGAAUCCCUUGCACAAGUUUUAUGUCAGAAAUACUGUUCCUUUAAGACGAUUAUAUGGUAAAUAUGUAUUAUUCAAAAGAGAAAAGUGAGAAACUACUUCAGUUGCCGCGGGUACGAGAUUAACAGCAUUUGCUAGUACAAAAGCGUUCGAAUGCAAAGAUAUCAUGCUAUCAUUAAACCAUUCUCUUCCCGUUUUAGGCAUAUGUUGCUCGUGGACUUUAUUCGCAGGAUUCUAUGUCUUUACUCCGAUAACGUUGGACCUGCUAAUGCCUUUGAACCAAUCUCGGAGACGUUAUUUUUCCUACUUAACAAUGUUUUCUCACGACCGCAUAGAGUAUGUCGAUAUGGUAUACAUGAAUAUUCUAGUUGUUUAUACAAUUGGAAUGUUGUGUCUGGUGGGUACGGAACUGACGUUGGCUGUGUUUGCCCACUGGAUGUGCGGAAUGUUCGAGAUAACUAGACAUACGGCACGAACAAAUUCACGAGGAAACGAUAACAGUGGGAAUAAUAAAUCGUUGCGAGGUGUUGUCGGAUGAUUCCUCGAGUUUUUCGCACAGAUGUCCUUUAGUUACCGAAGCGAAAUGGACGUGUUCUACAAGCAGUACAACUCUUAUCGUAUCCUGCUGAGUAUCUUAGGACUCUGGCCAUAUCACAAGUCGAUUUACUCAACGAUUCACAGAAUAUCGAUCUCUGUCACUAUGCUCGCCUUUAUUGUUUUCCAGGUAUUAUGGCUUUUCAAAUCUGGUAUUACAUUUCGAGGUUGCAUCGUAACGUUAUCUGCAACCUGCCCAGUUGUGAUCUAUUUCACGCGAUAUGUCUCUUCCGUAGCAAUGUUCCCAGUGGUACGUGAUGCUCUAAAGUGAACUCUGUGAAGUUCAAAUAAAGACAUUCAUAUAUAUAU